CAGUCGCCGCGGUAAUACGAAGGGGGCUAGCGUUGCUCGGAAUGACUGGGCGUAAAGGGCGCGUAGGCGGAUUGCGCAGUCAGAUGUGAAAUUCCUGGGCUUAACCUGGGGGCUGCAUUUGAGACGCGUAGUCUUGAGUAUUGGAGAGGUGAGUGGAAUCUCCGGUGUAGCGGUGAAAUGCGUAGAUAUCGGAAGGAACACCUGUGGCGAAAGCGGCUCACUGGACAAUUACUGACGCUGAUGCACGAAAGCUAGGGGAGCAAACAGGAUUAGAUACCCGCGUAGUCCCUGUCUCUUAUAC
This 301-nucleotide ribosomal RNA is filed under the name uncultured bacterium. RNAcentral describes it as "partial 16S ribosomal RNA". It matches the Rfam family "Bacterial small subunit ribosomal RNA", at positions 509 to 807 of the family's 1533-position model. The record is from RNAcentral.